RNAcentral lists this unclassified non-coding RNA (383 nucleotides) under uncultured Actinomycetes bacterium. RNAcentral describes it as "uncultured actinobacterium contains 16S-23S intergenic spacer region". The record is from RNAcentral. Lineage: Bacteria; Bacillati; Actinomycetota; Actinomycetes.
UCCGAGUUGACCCCGGCAGUCUCCUACGAGUCCCCGGCAUGAUCCGCUGGCAACAUAGGACAAGGGUUGCGCUCGUUGCGGGACUUAACCCAACAUCUCACGACACGAGCUGACGACAGCCAUGCAGCACCCGUGCAAGCUGCCCUUGCGGGCUCAUCCCUCUUUCAAGGUUUUACUACUUGCAUGUCAAGGCCAGGUAAGGUUCUUCGCGUUGCAUCGAAUUAAGCCACAUACUCCACCGCUUGUGCAGGCCCCCGUCAAUUUCUUUGAGUUUUAAUCUUGCGGCCGUACUCCCCAGGCGGGGCACUUAAUGCGUUAGCUACGGCGCGGAAAACGUGGAAUGUCCCCCACACCUAGUGCCCAACGUUUACGGCAUGGACUAC